RNAcentral lists this ribosomal RNA (253 nucleotides) under uncultured bacterium. RNAcentral describes it as "partial 16S ribosomal RNA". It matches the Rfam family "Bacterial small subunit ribosomal RNA", at positions 524 to 776 of the family's 1533-position model. The record is from RNAcentral.
UACGUAGGGUGCAAGCGUUAAUCGGAAUUACUGGGCGUAAAGCGUGCGCAGGCGGUUUUGUAAGACAGGCGUGAAAUCCCCGGGCUCAACCUGGGAAUGGCGCUUGUGACUGCAAAGCUGGAGUGCGGCAGAGGGGGAUGGAAUUCCGCGUGUAGCAGUGAAAUGCGUAGAUAUGCGGAGGAACACCAAUGGCGAAGGCAAUCCCCUGGGCCUGCACUGACGCUCAUGCACGAAAGCGUGGGGAGCAAACGGG